Molecule: transfer RNA, 72 nt
Filed under: Camelus dromedarius (Arabian camel)
Lineage: Eukaryota; Metazoa; Chordata; Mammalia; Artiodactyla; Camelidae
Also listed under: 1 other name
Rfam family: tRNA
About the family: Transfer RNA (tRNA) molecules are approximately 80 nucleotides in length.
Source: Rfam by way of RNAcentral
GUGGGUAGAGCUCAGUGGCAGAGCACAUGCUUAGCACGCUUGAGGUCCUGGGUUCAGUCCCUAGUACCUCCA